Molecule: ribosomal RNA, 152 nt
Filed under: Pleurotus ostreatus (oyster mushroom)
Lineage: Eukaryota; Fungi; Basidiomycota; Agaricomycetes; Agaricales; Pleurotaceae
Description: 5.8S ribosomal RNA
Rfam family: 5.8S ribosomal RNA
About the family: 5.8S ribosomal RNA (5.8S rRNA) is a component of the large subunit of the eukaryotic ribosome.
Source: RNAcentral
CAACUUUCAACAACGGAUCUCUUGGCUCUCGCAUCGAUCGCAGCGAAAUGCGAUAAGUAAUGUGAAUUGCAGAAUUCAGUGAAUCAUCGAAUCUUUGAACGCACCUUGCGCCCCUUGGUAUUCCGAGGGGCAUGCCUGUUUGAGUGUCAUUA